GCUGUAACAUAGAAAGAACAGCUCCUGCUCCUCGGCCCGCCCCCAACUGACUGCUCCACGCGCUACAGACAGCAGGGUCACGUGAUCGGCGCGCCGUCAACGUCCUUUAUCUCAGCAGCGGAAGGGGUUCUCACUAUGGCCAAUGAAUUGGAUGUGUUUGUUGGAAAUACCACUCUGAUUGAUGAAGAGGUUUAUCAGCUCUGGCUGGAUGGAUACUCAGUGAGUGAUGCUGUCAGUAUUCGUUUGAAGAGUGGCAUUUUAGAUCAGACUGGAGCUGGUCCCGAUGUCCUGGAGAGUGACACUAUGGACCAUUACAGAACAUUUCAGAUGCUUGAAAGACUUCUUCAUUACCCACCAAAACUGGUGCAGCAGUUGCUUUUUCAGAUCCCACCUUACAAGCAGAGCAUGCUGAUUGAGAGGUACUAUGCUUUUGAUGAGGCAUUUGUUCGGGAGGUUCUUGGAAAGAAACUAUCUAAAGGAACUAAGAAAGAUCUAGAUGACAUAAGUGCAAAGACUGGUGUGACCCUGAAGAGCUGCAGGAGACAGUUUGAUAAUUUUAAGCGAGUCUUUAAGGUGGUAGAAGAAAUGCGAGGUGCUCUAGUUGAAAAUAUUCAGCAGAAUUUCCUUUUGUCAGACAGACUUGCCAGAGAUUAUGCCGCAAUAGUUUUCUUUGCAAACAGUCGUUUUGAAACAGGCAAGAGAAAGCUCCAGUACUUGACAUUUGAGGAUUUUGCAACUUGUGCCGAGCAUCUAAUCCAAAACUGGACAUUAGGAGCCGUGGAUGUAGCCGAGGACAUGGACAUGGAUUUGGAUAAAGAAUUUUUACAGGAUCUGAAGGAACUGAAAAUACUAAUAACAGAUAAAGACCUUCUGGAUCAACAUAAGAGUUUAGUCUGUACAUCACUUAGAGGAAAAAUCGCAGUAUUUCAUGAAAUGGAAGCAAAUUUUAAGACACUCUCUAGGGCCUUGGUGAAUAUUGGAACAAGUCUUACCCAUAACAAAGAUGUGAGAGAUUUCUUUAUUGAUCUCGUGGAAAAGAAACUGCUGGACGGAUUACAAGAUCAAAGAGCACAGCCUAAUCAAGUUUAUAGAACCUUGUAAAGCUUCUAAUUGGUCUUCUUCAGAUGUUCAACUGUUUCUCACUCAGUACACAGCAUCUGCUCGUGCUCUUGAUGCCUUCAAGCAGCAGGCUCUUUGGGAGAGAUACAUGGGCACCUUACGAAGCUGUCUACUGAAAAUGUAUCACAGCUGAUUGUUUUCCUGAGUAAAUUCAUGGCCAACCCUGAAGAAAUUCAUAGUCGUCUAAUACCAUCACGUCUCACAAAUAUCACAGCAAUAGAUAGGAUAGGCCAAUCUUCACAGUCCCCCGCUAAUGUCUUUAAUUUUUUUUGUAUAUACUGUAUGUACAUAUGGAAUGUAUAGAGAUGUUUUUUAAUAAAUUUCCUUACAUCUG
Bufo gargarizans (Asiatic toad) is the source of this 1453-nucleotide RNA transcript. It is a transcript of the gene named FGF1 intracellular binding protein, with no coding region annotated. The transcript is spliced from 12 exons. Lineage: Eukaryota; Metazoa; Chordata; Amphibia; Anura; Bufonidae. The record is from RefSeq and is a predicted model, not a curated record.